This 430-nucleotide unclassified non-coding RNA is filed under the name soil metagenome. Its description in RNAcentral is "partial contains 5.8S ribosomal RNA, internal transcribed spacer 2, and large subunit ribosomal RNA". The stretch from base 1 to 120 matches the Rfam family "5.8S ribosomal RNA", at positions 35 to 154 of the family's 154-position model. The record is from RNAcentral.
GAUGAAGAACGCAGCGAAACGCGAUACGUAAUGUGAAUUGCAGAAUUCAGUGAAUCAUCGAAUCUUUGAACGCACCUUGCGCCCCUCGGCAUUCCGAGGGGCAUGCCUGUUUGAGUGUCACGGAUCCUUCGAACCCCGCCGGUCUCCGACGAGCCGGCCGCCUGGGUUCGGUCCUGGGCGCUACGCCACCCCUCCGGGGCUGGCCCGCCUCAAAAGCAUCAGCUGGGCCUCGCGGCGUGGGCGGGCUCCGAUCGGCGUGAUAAGUCAUCUGCCGAGAGGGUGCCCGUCCGUCCCGCGGAUCGCGGUCCGCUCCCAACCCCUCCCCGCGCGCCGUCCCCCCCCCCGGGGAGCGCGCGGGGACGUUUCGACGCUCUGGCCUCAAAUCAGGUAGGACCACCCGCUGAACUUAAGCAUAUCAAUAAGCGGAGGA